CAUUCUUAGCGAUGGGUUACUUGGCUUUUGGAGUGAUGAAGUACGCAGCUAUUUAUGACAAUUAGUGCGAAUUAUGGACGCAUUAAGCACAAGAAUUUUGAACACACGUUGCAUGGGUUGAUUCCCGAUGAUGUAUUUAUUUGAAAGUCA
Molecule: non-coding RNA, 150 nt
Organism: Onchocerca ochengi
Lineage: Eukaryota; Metazoa; Nematoda; Chromadorea; Rhabditida; Onchocercidae
Source: Rfam